GCCAGGCGUGGUGGCGCAUGCCUGUAAUCCCGGCUACUCGGGAGGCUGAGGCAGGAGAAUUGCUUGAACCUGGGAGGCGGAGGUUGUGGUGAGCUGAGAUCACACCACUGCACUCCAGCCUGGGUAACAGAGCGAGACUCUGCCUCAA
Molecule: non-coding RNA, 148 nt
Filed under: Gorilla gorilla gorilla (western lowland gorilla)
Lineage: Eukaryota; Metazoa; Chordata; Mammalia; Primates; Hominidae
Source: Rfam by way of RNAcentral